RNAcentral lists this ribosomal RNA (369 nucleotides) under uncultured organism. RNAcentral's name for it is "bacterial SSU rRNA". It matches the Rfam family "Bacterial small subunit ribosomal RNA", at positions 526 to 896 of the family's 1533-position model. The record is from RNAcentral.
CGUAGGUGGCAAGCGUUGUCCGGAGUUUAUUGGGUUUAAAGGGUGCGUAGGCGGUUCCAUAAGUCAGUGGUGAAAUACGGCAGCUCAACUGUCGAGGUGCCAUUGAUACUGCGGAACUUGAGUACUGAUGAGGUAGGCGGAAUUGACGGUGUAGCGGUGAAAUGCUUAGAUAUCGUCAAGAACACCGAUAGCGAAGGCAGCUUACCAAGCAGUAACUGACGCUGAGGCACGAAAGUGCGGGGAUCAAACAGGAUUAGAUACCCUGGUAGUCCGCACAGUAAACGAUGAUUACUCGAUGUUGGCGAUACACAGCCAGCGUCUUAGCGAAAGCGAUAAGUAAUCCACCUGGGGAGUACGCCCGCAAGGGUG